GACAGAGGGGGCAAGCGUUGCUCGGAAUUACUGGGCGUAAAGGGCGUGUAGGCGGGACGGCAAGUCGGUCGUGAAAGCCUCCGGCCCAACCGGAGAACGUCGAUCGAUACUGCCGUUCUUGAGGGUAGUAGAGGAGACUGGAAUUCCCGGUGUAGCGGUGAAAUGUGUAGAGAUCGGGAGGAACACCGGUGGCGAAGGCGGGUCUCUGGGCUACUCCUGACGCUGAGGCGCGAAAGCGUGGGGAGCAAACGGG
Molecule: ribosomal RNA, 253 nt
Filed under: uncultured bacterium
Lineage: Bacteria
Description: partial 16S ribosomal RNA
Rfam family: Bacterial small subunit ribosomal RNA
Source: RNAcentral